GGGCGUGUGGUCUAGUGGUAUGAUUCUCGCUUUGGGUGCGAGAGGCCCUAGGUUCAAUUCCCAGUAUGCCCC
RNAcentral lists this transfer RNA (72 nucleotides) under Zygosaccharomyces rouxii. RNAcentral's name for it is "tRNA-Pro". It matches the Rfam family "tRNA". From Rfam's summary of the family: Transfer RNA (tRNA) molecules are approximately 80 nucleotides in length. Their secondary structure includes four short double-helical elements and three loops (D, anti-codon, and T loops). Further hydrogen bonds mediate the characteristic L-shaped molecular structure. tRNAs have two regions of fundamental functional importance: the anti-codon, which is responsible for specific mRNA codon recognition, and the 3' end, to which the tRNAs corresponding amino acid is attached (by aminoacyl-tRNA synthetases). tRNAs cope with the degeneracy of the genetic code in two manners: having more than one tRNA (with a specific anti-codon) for a particular amino acid; and 'wobble' base-pairing, i.e. permitting non-standard base-pairing at the 3rd anti-codon position. The record is from RNAcentral. Lineage: Eukaryota; Fungi; Ascomycota; Saccharomycetes; Saccharomycetales; Saccharomycetaceae.